This 73-nucleotide transfer RNA is filed under the name Lachnospiraceae bacterium. RNAcentral's name for it is "tRNA-Val". It matches the Rfam family "tRNA". From Rfam's summary of the family: Transfer RNA (tRNA) molecules are approximately 80 nucleotides in length. Their secondary structure includes four short double-helical elements and three loops (D, anti-codon, and T loops). The record is from RNAcentral. Lineage: Bacteria; Bacillati; Bacillota; Clostridia; Lachnospirales; Lachnospiraceae.
ACGUGGGUAACUCAACUGGCAGAGUGCCUCCCUUACAAGAAGGAAGCUAUGGGUUCAAGUCCCUUCCCGCGUA